UCCCUCUUAGCUCAGUGGUAGAGCGCUUCACUAGUAUGUUAUGAGAAUUUUUCUCUAUAUACUAUGAAGAGGUCAGUCGUUCAAGUCGGCUAGAGGGAA
Marasmius tenuissimus is the source of this 99-nucleotide non-coding RNA. The record is from the annotation of a GenBank genome assembly. Lineage: Eukaryota; Fungi; Basidiomycota; Agaricomycetes; Agaricales; Marasmiaceae.